Zootermopsis nevadensis is the source of this 1127-nucleotide non-coding RNA. The record is from RefSeq and is a predicted model, not a curated record. NCBI's taxonomy places the organism in Eukaryota, Metazoa, Arthropoda, Insecta, Blattodea, Termopsidae.
GGAGGAGGACAAGGAGGCCAAGAAGUCGGAAAAAGCAGACUGGCAGACGAAGAAAUAGUCACACAGACACACAGCAUCCCUAGAACAAAACACUAAAAUUUGUAUCUGUCUCUAAAGUUUUUUUUUAUUUAUCUGGAUGUCAAAUUGAAUUUUGUCCUGACCCAGUCGCAUUCUCAUUAAAUAAUUAAUACAGCAAGUAUUUAUACCUCACACUUUUCGAAUGUUUCUCUUAAACUAAAGCAGUUCGGAACGUGAAACACACACACAAACAGAUUUUUACACUUUUUGAAAUAUUUCUUCUGAAUAUUUAAUGGCGAUAUAUUUUUUGUUUUUGUUUUAUGUUAAUUUUGUUCGUUUUUCGUGUCUUAUUUUGUGGUGUCUUUGUGGCGUGAAUUUUGUGCGAUUGGUGGAUGACGUCAAUGUAGCGUAGCUGUGUUUUGUUUUAUCUAUCAUAUAUUUCCCCACCAAAGUAGAAUAUAAAUUUGUGCCCUCGUAUAUUUUAGAGUUACAGCCUGUUUUCUUUCCGACUUGUUCUUUUCACUUUAACAUACAAAAUAAUGUUGAAUAAGACAGGAGUCAGUUAAGAGUUACCGCAGUUGCAAGAACCCAGUCCGUCAUGGGAGGAGCUUCGGAGAGAAAAAGCCAGAUUGGUCAAAGAAAGGCGAAGAAAAGAAGGUAGGGGAUAAAGAAGUAGAGGCAUAAGUUGGAUAUUUCUACUUUCUCUUUUAUUCGUAUAAAUUUUAAAAGCAGACCUCAUAGGGAGUUUACCGAACACGUGCACUCAGAUAUAUUGCCUGAAAUGAAUUAAAUUACUACUUGGGAAUCAAUCACCUACAGAUGGAGGAAGAAGAACUUAACUACAGCAUCCCGGAAGUAAGAUCUACAACGUUCACUGUGAUUUUAUGUUAUUUUUUUGUUCGUUUUAAAUCUAGGAAUAUUCGAUUUUGUUGUGUUGGCAUGACGCCGUAUACACCUUGUAGUUGUCAGCUGUUCUCUCUGCCCUACUGUAAACAUCUCGGCUCUCCUUGUCAAUAUGUUUUCCACCCCUACAUAUAGGGGGCGCAAAUGAACAUUUGUUGUGUGUAGCAAUGUACAAGGUCAUAAUUAAAGUUACUCAUGUGAUGUUA